This 27-nucleotide non-coding RNA is filed under the name Mus musculus (house mouse). The record is from RNAcentral. Lineage: Eukaryota; Metazoa; Chordata; Mammalia; Rodentia; Muridae.
UGGUGAUACCCAAGAAGCAUAUAUCCC